CGGGGCGUAGCGCAGCCUGGUAGCGCGUCGGUUUUGGGUACCGAAGGUCGUGGGUUCGAAUCCCGCCGCCCCGACCA
This 77-nucleotide transfer RNA is filed under the name Rhodovulum sp. RNAcentral's name for it is "tRNA-Pro". It matches the Rfam family "tRNA". Rfam says of the family: Transfer RNA (tRNA) molecules are approximately 80 nucleotides in length. Their secondary structure includes four short double-helical elements and three loops (D, anti-codon, and T loops). RNAcentral also lists the same sequence under 1 other name. The record is from RNAcentral. Lineage: Bacteria; Pseudomonadati; Pseudomonadota; Alphaproteobacteria; Rhodobacterales; Paracoccaceae.